CGGCGCCACAAGUGGCAAUCGCGAUUAUUGGGCCUAAAGCGUUCGUAGCAUGACAAGUUAAUCUUCUGUGAAAUCGUUUCGCUUAACGUAACGAAUGGCAGGAGACACUGCUGGUCUUGGAACCGGGAGGGGUUAGAGGUAUUCAAAGGGGACCGGUAAAAUGGGAUAAUCCUUUGAGGACCACCGAUGGCGAAGGCAUCUAACCAGAACGGAUUCGACUGUGAGGGACGAAAGCCAGGGGAGCAAACCGGAUUAGAUACCCGAGUAGUCC
This 271-nucleotide ribosomal RNA is filed under the name uncultured archaeon. RNAcentral describes it as "partial 16S ribosomal RNA". It matches the Rfam family "Archaeal small subunit ribosomal RNA", at positions 477 to 747 of the family's 1478-position model. The record is from RNAcentral.